UACGAAGGGGGCGAGCGUUGUUCGGAAUUACUGGGCGUAAAGCGUGCGCAGGCGGUUCUAUAAGACAGAUGUGAAAUCCCCGGGCUCAACCUGGGAACUGCAUUUGUGACUGUAGAGCUGGAGUGCGGCAGAGGGGGAUGGAAUUCCGCGUGUAGCAGUGAAAUGCGUAGAUAUGCGGAGGAACACCGAUGGCGAAGGCAAUCCCCUGGGCCUGCACUGACGCUCAUGCACGAAAGCGUGGGGAGCAAACAGG
This 253-nucleotide ribosomal RNA is filed under the name uncultured bacterium. Its description in RNAcentral is "partial 16S ribosomal RNA". It matches the Rfam family "Bacterial small subunit ribosomal RNA", at positions 524 to 776 of the family's 1533-position model. The record is from RNAcentral.